Molecule: transfer RNA, 54 nt
Filed under: Philometroides sanguineus
Lineage: Eukaryota; Metazoa; Nematoda; Chromadorea; Rhabditida; Philometridae
Description: tRNA-Gln
Source: RNAcentral
UGUGUCUUAUUUUAAAUUAGAAUAGAUAUUUUUGGUAUAUCAGGUUUGAUACAA